ACCUAGCUAGCUCAGAUGGUAGCAUAUCAGACUUUUAAUUUGAGGGUCCAGGGUUCCAGUCCCUGGUCAGGUA
This 73-nucleotide transfer RNA is filed under the name Pelodiscus sinensis (Chinese soft-shelled turtle). It matches the Rfam family "tRNA". Rfam says of the family: Transfer RNA (tRNA) molecules are approximately 80 nucleotides in length. Lineage: Eukaryota; Metazoa; Chordata; Testudines; Trionychidae. The record is from Rfam by way of RNAcentral.